Long non-coding RNA from Oreochromis aureus, 714 nucleotides. RefSeq lists it as uncharacterized. The transcript is spliced from 3 exons. NCBI's taxonomy places the organism in Eukaryota, Metazoa, Chordata, Actinopteri, Cichliformes, Cichlidae. The record is from RefSeq and is a predicted model, not a curated record.
GUGUGUGUGUGUGUGUGUGUGUGUGCGUGCGACUAUGUGGUAUGGAUGGACAUUUGACCUGACGCUGUACCUGGGCUACAGGGACAUUUCGACUUUUUGCUGUGUAUUCAUGUGUCCCCCUAAAACAUGAAUUGUAAAUGCAUUUUUAAGUGUCUAAAUAAUAAUUUUUUCUACUUCUUAUGAGGUCAUUAUUUAUCUUUUGACCUGUAUUUGCUUAAACUGUAGUGUAAAUUCAUUUAUUAAACUAUAAUUAAAAGAUUUUCUGAUUUUCUUAAAAGUCCACCUAUACCACUCACCUGAUUUUUGUGUAUUCCAGUUUAUUGCACAGCGACGUUUCGAGUUAGAGUGGAUGUGUGUAAGUACUACAAUUUAAUACACAUUUUCAAUACACAGGGCCAGAAGUCAUUGUGAUUGGUAGGCUAUAUAUAUAGGCGGUACCUACCGGAAACGAUUUCGCGCGCGUGCCCUUUAACAAGUACAUGUCGACGGCAAUACGAAGACUGAUUAAAAGCACAAAGGCAAUCAAAACGUACAGGAGAACAUGCGAAGGAGACGCAUUCCUCCACGGGAGGAUGCAGUCUGUCAUGUUUCUGCUGGAAGGGACAAACUGGGACUUGAUAUCCACUACAUAAAUGCCUUCAAAGGUCGGGGCAUUUUCACGACUGUUCCAUUCCAAAAAGGAGACUUCCUUUUGGAAUACAGAGGUAAACUCAU